GAGGGAUGGCUGAGUGGUCGAAAGCACCGGUCUUGAAAACCGGCGGGGGUUAAUAGCCCUCCUAGGGUUCAAAUCCCUAUCCCU
This 84-nucleotide transfer RNA is filed under the name marine eukaryotic metagenome. It matches the Rfam family "tRNA". From Rfam's summary of the family: Transfer RNA (tRNA) molecules are approximately 80 nucleotides in length. The record is from RNAcentral.